CCUUCUUCUAAUCCCCUUCCUCUCUCAAUUUGGUCUACAGGAGAGAGAGAAGAUAAGACGGAGAGAGAGAAGGAGGAGAGGAGGGAGAGGAAAGGAGGUGCGGUGGCAGGGAAAUCGUCGUCGGAUGCGUCCUAUAUGUGAUGGGUGUGUUCCCAUCAAGUCGAUGGUGGGGUUGAUGUGCCCGUCGAUUCGGUGAUCCGUUGGCUGAGCUCGUCUUCUCAGUGGCAGACUUGUGUUCUAUGGUAGUCGGAGCCAUUAUAUGUGGUUGUGCAGUUGCUGAUGUACAGGAGGCAUCCGUGGUGUCAGUUCUUCAUCGUCCAUGCUUAUCUUCUAUAUGCUCUAGCAGCCAGCAGGAUUUAAUUGAUGGAGUCCUGCUGCUAAAGGACGUGAACAGGAAGUCCUAUCGCUGGAUGUUUACUGUCCGAAUUGCAAGGAUCUGGGAAUACAUGAGUACAGACCCUAUCAAAUUCUAUAGCUCUAUUCAUUGGCACACGAGUUGAUCAAUUUUGAGGUAAUAAAGCGAAGUUGUUAUCUGGAAAAUACUUACCUACUUAAAGAAGGUCAAAAUAGAGAAAUCGUUGGCAUAAUUUUUAUGUAUACAAUAUACUAGCUUUCAUAUCUACUUUGGACACCACGUGGCACAUCAACAUUAUGUACCUGAAGCGAUCGCUACAGAAGAAAGGCGAUAACGGCGCCACGAGGAUUCGCUGCCGUGAGGAGGACCCCGACCCGUAUGAUGGCCACCGGAAGGUCACACACUUCUUUGGCUCGCUCAGACUGGCUCCAUUGACGACUUCUCUAUGGCGUUUGCAGAGGAAGCCAAGUGAUACAUGAUACUGGUGUAUUUGUUGGGUUCCUCUUGGCGUGUUGAACAAAAAUUGGCGGUCAUCACUACUAUUUAAAGUUGGUUUGAUCAGUACUAGGGAAAACCCAUAUAUGGAAGGAAAUUAUUGUAGUUUCUUGGUAAAAUGAGUUAAAACAUGCAAGGAUACUUAGUGUUAGAAACUGCUCGGAUCUACUUUAUAUAAGCAGCUCAUCCAGCCUUGGAGGAGUAGAAAUCGGAGCAGAGCGUUCCACGACCCCACGUAGCAGGCAUGCAAUGGAGAUGGCUCAGCCAAGGAGUAGCUCAUGCGAUUCUACCUCGUCGGUGUCCUCAAUGGCUGACUUUGACUCAGGUUACAGUCAGUUUGUGUCCCCCAUCUCCUCACGGUCGAGGCCCAGCUUCAGGCGCGGAACGUCGGAGGCCAUACUACGCUAACCUAGCAUCUAAGGGACAUCCAGGGAAGGAUGCCGGAGGUGUUGGAAAUAUGCCCUAGAGGCAAU
This is a long non-coding RNA of Triticum dicoccoides, 1323 nucleotides long. RefSeq lists it as uncharacterized. Lineage: Eukaryota; Viridiplantae; Streptophyta; Magnoliopsida; Poales; Poaceae. The record is from RefSeq and is a predicted model, not a curated record. The transcript has 7 exons.